This 256-nucleotide ribosomal RNA is filed under the name uncultured archaeon. RNAcentral's name for it is "partial 16S ribosomal RNA". It matches the Rfam family "Bacterial small subunit ribosomal RNA", at positions 521 to 776 of the family's 1533-position model. The record is from RNAcentral.
UAACACGUAGGGGGCAAGCGUUGUUCGGAAUUACUGGGCGUAAAGGGCAUGUAGGCGGCCUUGUAAGCCUGGCGUGAAAGUCCACAGCUCAACUGUGGGAUUGCGUCGGGAACUGCAGGGCUUGAGUCACGGAGGGGAGAGUAGAAUUCCUGGUGUAGGGGUGAAAUCUGUAGAGAUCAGGAAGAAUACCAGUGGCGAAGGCGACUCUCUGGCCGAUGACUGACGCUGAGGUGCGAAAGUGUGGGGAUCAAACAGG